UAGUCCACGCCGUAAACGAUGGUCACUAGCUGUUUGGACUUCGGUCUGAGUGGCUAAGCGAAAGUGAUAAGUGACCCACCUGGGGAGUACGUUCGCAAGAAUGAAACUCAAAGGAAUUGACGGGGGCCCGCACAAGCGGUGGAGCAUGUGGUUUAAUUCGAUGAUACGCGAGGAACCUUACCAGGGCUUAAAUGUAGAGUGACAGAUCUAGAGAUAGUAUUUUUCUUCGGACUACUUUACAAGGUGCUGCAUGGUUGUCGUCAGCUCGUGCCGUGAGGUGUCAGGUUAAGUCCUAUAACGAGCGCAACCCCUGUUGUUAGUUGCCAGCGAGUAAUGUCGGGAACUCUAACAAGACUGCCGGUGCAAACCGUGAGGAGGGUGGGGACGACGUCAAGUCAUCACGGCCCUUACGUCCUGGGCCACACACGUGCUACAAUGGCGAGUACAGAGGGCAGCUACCAUGUGAAUGGAUGCCAAUCUCAAAAACUCGUCUCAGUUCGGAUCG
Molecule: ribosomal RNA, 505 nt
Filed under: uncultured bacterium
Lineage: Bacteria
Description: bacterial SSU rRNA
Rfam family: Bacterial small subunit ribosomal RNA
Source: RNAcentral